This is a long non-coding RNA of Gasterosteus aculeatus aculeatus (three-spined stickleback), 275 nucleotides long. The record is from Ensembl. NCBI's taxonomy places the organism in Eukaryota, Metazoa, Chordata, Actinopteri, Perciformes, Gasterosteidae.
UGUUACCCGGCAGUCGAGAGGCUCCAGACCACACCGGGUUCACCAAGCGAGGUGGUAUGACCUCAGGCAAAGUCUGACGUACACCGACCGACCGACCGGCUGGGAGAGGAAUUAGAUGUGAGGUGAUCGAUACGGGGUGUGUGAGAGAAAGGUCCAUGUGCGCCAGAACAUACUGAAAUGGAUGGCUGACGGGUGUACUUUGAUGAGUGGAGCGCGAGCCGGACAAUUUGGAUGUUGAUGGCGAAUUCAUCUAAAUCAACGGUGAAAGAGGGGAC